UUUGGCGGGGGUUUCGACCUCUUCACACUUAGGAUGCUGGUGGAAUGGCUUUAAACGACCCGUCUUGAAACACGGACCAAGGAGUCUAACAUGCUUGCGAGUAUUUGGGUGUCAAACCCGGAUGCGUAAUGAAAGUGAAUGGAGGUGGGAACCGCAAGGUGCACCAUCGACCGAUCUGGAUUUUUAAUGAUGGAUUUGAGUAAGAGCACGUAUGUUGGGACCCGAAAGAUGGUGAACUAUGCCUGAAUAGGGCGAAGCCAGAGGAAACUCUGGUGGAGGCUCGUAGCGGUUCUGACGUGCAAAUCGAUCGUC
This 312-nucleotide ribosomal RNA is filed under the name Rhodotorula mucilaginosa. Its description in RNAcentral is "eukaryotic LSU rRNA". It matches the Rfam family "Eukaryotic large subunit ribosomal RNA", at positions 589 to 906 of the family's 3401-position model. The record is from RNAcentral. Lineage: Eukaryota; Fungi; Basidiomycota; Microbotryomycetes; Sporidiobolales; Sporidiobolaceae.